GAGGAAAAUAUAAAAUGGCAAACACACGACGGACGUCCCUCGAGGCUGCAGGCUACCUUUACGUAGGAUCAAGAGAGACUUCAGAGAGGGAUGAGGGCGUCGUAAGCAGAGACGGAGAGAAGGGAGGUCUAGAGCAGGACCCUGAGCAUAGGACGGGGAUGGCAGCACGAGGGUGGCAUAGGGUGGUCCUGGGUACCCCAGCCCGGGGAUAACCUUGUUAGCGCUAAUGACGGGCUCUGCCACGAGCUGCGCGAGCCAAGUCAGGGCCGUAGCGCGUUUGUGACUCUUUGAGGGCUCCACCCCUUUGUGCGGGGCUUGACUUCCUAACUACAAUUUGGGCUGAUGUUGGACUCGCCGGUAUCCCAGCAUUACAACAAGACAUUACGUGGAAAAGUAAUGAUCUAAGAACAAACAAUAGCUUGGGGUGUAAAAUGGCUGAGAGAAGAAAGGGCUCCCAGAUAGCACAAGGUAAAGAGCAUAGU
Long non-coding RNA from Cephus cinctus (wheat stem sawfly), 482 nucleotides. RefSeq lists it as uncharacterized. The record is from RefSeq and is a predicted model, not a curated record. Lineage: Eukaryota; Metazoa; Arthropoda; Insecta; Hymenoptera; Cephidae. The transcript has 3 exons.